RNAcentral lists this unclassified non-coding RNA (249 nucleotides) under plant metagenome. RNAcentral describes it as "partial contains small subunit ribosomal RNA, internal transcribed spacer 1, and 5.8S ribosomal RNA". The stretch from base 201 to 249 matches the Rfam family "5.8S ribosomal RNA", at positions 1 to 49 of the family's 154-position model. The record is from RNAcentral.
UCUCCGUAGGUGAACCUGCGGAGGGAUCAUUACAGAGUUCAUGCCCUACCGGGUAGAUCUCCCACCCUAUGUUAUUAUUACUUUGUUGCUUUGGCGGGCCGUUAGGCUCCGGCCCGACUACCGGCCCCGGCUGGUAAGCGCCCGCCAGAGGACCCAAAACCCUGAAUAUUAGUGUCGUCUGAGUACUAUAUAAUAGUUAAAACUUUCAACAACGGAUCUCUCGGUUCUGGCAUCGAUGAAGAGCGCAGC